GAUGAACGCUGGCGGCGUGCCUAAUACAUGCAAGUCGAGCGAACGGACGAGAAGCUUGCUUCUCUGAUGUUAGCGGCGGACGGGUGAGUAACACGUGGAUAACCUACCUAUAAGACUGGGAUAACUUCGGGAAACCGGAGCUAAUACCGGAUAAUAUUUUUAACCGCAUGGUUCAAAAUUGAAAGACGGUCUUGCUGUCACUUAUAGAUGGAUCCGCGCUGCAUUAGUUAGUUGGUAAGGUAACGGCCUACCAAGGCAACGAUGCAUAGCCGACCUGAGAGGGGGAUCGGCAACACUGGAACUGAGACACGGUCAAGACUCCUCCGGGAGGCAGCAGAAGGGAACUUUGGGAAAUGGGGGAAAUCCUGCCGGAGAAACGCCGCGUGAGUGAUGAAGGUCUUCGGAUCUUAAACCUCUGUUAUUAGGGAAGACCAUAUGUGUAAGUAAAAGUGCACCUCUUGACGGUACCUAAUCAGAAAGCCACGGCUAACUACGUG
This 497-nucleotide ribosomal RNA is filed under the name uncultured bacterium. RNAcentral's name for it is "partial 16S ribosomal RNA". It matches the Rfam family "Bacterial small subunit ribosomal RNA", at positions 28 to 507 of the family's 1533-position model. The record is from RNAcentral.